RNAcentral lists this transfer RNA (73 nucleotides) under Camelus bactrianus (Bactrian camel). It matches the Rfam family "tRNA". Rfam says of the family: Transfer RNA (tRNA) molecules are approximately 80 nucleotides in length. RNAcentral also lists the same sequence under 3 other names. Lineage: Eukaryota; Metazoa; Chordata; Mammalia; Artiodactyla; Camelidae. The record is from Rfam by way of RNAcentral.
GAGGGUAUAGCUCAAUUGGUAGAGUGCAUGCUUAGCAUGCCCGAGGUUCUGAGUUUAAUCCCCAGUACCUCCU